UACGUAGGCAGCGAGCGUUGUUCGGAAUUACUGGGCGUAAAGAGUGUGUAGGCGGUGCUCUAAGUUCGGGGUGAAAUCUCCUGGCUCAACUGGGAGGGUGCGCCGGAAACUGGAGUGCUUGAGCGUGGGAGAGGAAAGCGGAAUUCCUGGUGUAGCGGUGAAAUGCGUAGAUAUCAGGAGGAACACCUGUGGUGUAGACAGCUUACUGGACCAUUUCUGACGCUGAGACACGAAAGCGUGGGUAGCAAACAGG
This 253-nucleotide ribosomal RNA is filed under the name uncultured bacterium. RNAcentral's name for it is "partial 16S ribosomal RNA". It matches the Rfam family "Bacterial small subunit ribosomal RNA", at positions 524 to 776 of the family's 1533-position model. The record is from RNAcentral.